This 253-nucleotide ribosomal RNA is filed under the name uncultured bacterium. Its description in RNAcentral is "partial 16S ribosomal RNA". It matches the Rfam family "Bacterial small subunit ribosomal RNA", at positions 524 to 776 of the family's 1533-position model. The record is from RNAcentral.
UACGUAGGGUGCGAGCGUUACUCGGAAUUACUGGGCGUAAAGCGUGCGCAGGCGGUUUUGCAAAGCAGGUGUGAAAUCCCCGGGCUUAACCUGGGAACUGCAUUUGUGACUGCACGGCUAGAGUGUGUCAGAGGGGGGUAGAAUUCCACGUGUAGCAGUGAAAUGCGUAGAGAUGUGGAGGAAUACCGAUGGCGAAGGCAGCCCCCUGGGAUAACACUGACGCUCAUGCACGAAAGCGUGGGGAGCAAACAGG